UAGGGAGCGAGCGUUGUCCGGAAUUACUGGGCGUAAAGGGCGCGUAGGCGGGGUUUUAAGUAGUGUGUGAAAACUAUAGGCUCAACCUGUAGACUGCAUGCUAAACUGGAACUCUUGAGGGCAGGAGAGGAAAGUGGAAUUCCUAGUGUAGCGGUGAAAUGCGAAGAUAUUAGGAGGAACACCAGUGGCGAAGGCGACUUUCUGGACUGUGCCUGACGCUGAGGCGCGAAAGCGUGGGGAGC
Molecule: ribosomal RNA, 242 nt
Filed under: uncultured bacterium
Lineage: Bacteria
Description: partial 16S ribosomal RNA
Rfam family: Bacterial small subunit ribosomal RNA
Source: RNAcentral